GAUGAACGCUGGCGGCGUGCCUAAUACAUGCAAGUCGAGCGAACGGACGAGAAGCUUGCUUCUCUGAUGUUAGCGGCGGACGGGUGAGUAACACGUGGAUAACCUACCUAUAAGACUGGGAUAACUUCGGGAAACCGUAGCUAAUACCGGAUAAUAUUUUGAACCGCAUGGUUCAAAAGUGAAAGACGGUCUUGCUGUCACUUAUAGAUGGAUCCGCGCUGCAUUAGCUAGUUGGUAAGGUAACGGCUUACCAAGGCAACGAUGCAUAGCCGACCUGAGAGGGUGAUCGGCCACACUGGACCUGAGACACGCUCCAGACUCCUACGGGAGGCAGCAGUAGGUAAUCUUCCGCAAUGGGCGAAAGCCUGACGGAGCAACGCCGCGUGAGUGAUGAAGGUCUUCGGAUCGUAAAACUCUGUUAUUAGGGAAGAACAUAUGUGUAAGUAACUGUGCACAUCUUGACGGUACCUAAUCAGAAAGCCACGGCUAACUACGU
RNAcentral lists this ribosomal RNA (496 nucleotides) under uncultured bacterium. Its description in RNAcentral is "partial 16S ribosomal RNA". It matches the Rfam family "Bacterial small subunit ribosomal RNA", at positions 28 to 506 of the family's 1533-position model. The record is from RNAcentral.